This 479-nucleotide ribosomal RNA is filed under the name uncultured bacterium. Its description in RNAcentral is "partial 16S ribosomal RNA". It matches the Rfam family "Bacterial small subunit ribosomal RNA", at positions 28 to 507 of the family's 1533-position model. The record is from RNAcentral.
GACGAACGCUGGCGGCGUGCUUAACACAUGCAAGUCGAACGAAGCUUGAUUACGGAUUCUUCGGAUGAAGUAUGAUAUGACUGAGUGGCGGACGGGUGAGUAACGCGUGAGUAACCUGCCCUUCCGAGGGGGAGAGCGCUUGGAAACGAACGGUAAUACCGCAUAAUGUAUUUUGACCGCAUGGUCGAAAUACCAAAGAGUUCUCGCUGAAGGAUGGACUCGCGUCUGAUUAGGUGGUUGGUGGGGUAACGGCCUACGAGGCGGACGAUCAGUAGCCGGACUAAGAGGUGACUCGGCCACAGUGGAGCCUCGUCACGGCGGCGACUGCUGCGAGUAGCAGAAGAGGGGAAUAUGGCACAAUGAGCGCAAGCCUGAUGCAGCUACGCCGCGUGAAGGAAGACGGUUUUCGGAUUGUAGGCUUCUGUUCUUAGUGGAUAAUAAUGACGGUAGCUAAGAAGCAAGCCACGGCUAACUACGUG